This 497-nucleotide ribosomal RNA is filed under the name uncultured bacterium. Its description in RNAcentral is "partial 16S ribosomal RNA". It matches the Rfam family "Bacterial small subunit ribosomal RNA", at positions 28 to 507 of the family's 1533-position model. The record is from RNAcentral.
GAUGAACGCUGGCGGCGUGCCUAAUACAUGCAAGUCGAGCGAACGGACGAGAAGCUUGCUUCUCUGAUGUUAGCGGCGGACGGGUGAGUAACACGUGGAUAACCUACCUAUAAGACUGGGAUAACUUCGGGAAACCGGAGCUAAUACCGGAUAAUAUUUUGAACCGCAUGGUUCAAAAGUGAAAGACGGUCUUGCUGUCACUUAUAGAUGGAUCCGCGCUGCAUUAGCUAGUUGGUAAGGUAACGGCUUACCAAGGCAACGAUGCAUAGCCGACCUGAGAGGGUGAUCGGCCACACUGGAACUGAGACACGGUCCAGACUCCUACGGGAGGCAGCAGUAGGGAAUCUUCCGCAAAGGGCGAAAGCCUGACGGAGCAACGCCGCGUGAGUGAUGAAGGUCUUCGGAUCAUAAAACUCUGUUAUUAGGGAAGAACAGAUGUGUAAGUAACUGUGCACAUCUUGACGGUACCUAAUCAGAAGGCCACGGCUAACUACGUG